UAUGAUGUGAUACAAAACCGACCUGAACCCGAUGUGUUAUAUCCGAACCCGACCUGUACUUGCAAAUUUACUAGAAUAGGACCUAGGAGGUGUUAUAAAAGAGAACCGAAAUCUAAAAAAUCCGAUCCAAACGCCAACGGGUACCCAAACAUCCAGGCCUAAUCGCUACCCACACAUCCCGCGGUAUCACCUCGCGAAAUGGCCUGGUCGGAUUCAUCGUAACACGGCCGCGGCCUGCCUUCACCUGCGACGUCUACCCGCGGUUCUCCCUGGAGCUCUCUGCCACGAAUCCGCGGUGAAGCUCAUCCCGUGUCUGUGGUCCGGGUCCGCUUCUUCCCAUGCUCGAGUCUCUGCCAUGUUUCCGCGGUCGCAACCAACCCGCUGUGUGAGUCCGCGGCGUCUCUCCUAUCCACCGCAGCCAAGCUCAGCCCGUGUCGUCAACCAGUCGUGCUCCACCACAAGAUCUCUGGUCCAAGUCGUCUCUCCUCUGCCAAGCUCAAACCAAGCCGUAAAUCUACUUCGUCUUUGUCCUAGUCAUCUUCGCCGUGCUCAGUCGUCAUGCUCAGCUCUGUCAUGGUCGUGCUCUCAGCUUCACUCCGUCGUCGGGGAAGUCGCAGUCUUCUCGUAGCGGAGGAACCACGAAGCAACAUUGGUGGAUUUUGGACUUUUUACACAUCUGGCCCUUUAUCUUUUCGCUAUGUAUGAUGUGACCCCAAAACUAUUAAAUUUACAGACAAGUCCUCUCGAAUCACCCCCAAACUUUAAGAUGCGCAGACCAGACCUUCUAUAAUUUCACAAUGGGUCUCUCGUCUCUUGAUGGUUUUCAAAUCGCCCAUAACCUUUAUAAAUUGUAAGAAUGACCUCACGAUUUAGCCCCAAACUUCUCAUGUGUGCACUUUACUACUUUAG
Molecule: long non-coding RNA, 909 nt
Filed under: Brassica napus (rape)
Lineage: Eukaryota; Viridiplantae; Streptophyta; Magnoliopsida; Brassicales; Brassicaceae
Description: long non-coding RNA (BNAP_LNC020179)
Source: RNAcentral